CCCUUAGAUGUUCUGGGCCGCACGCGCGCUACACUGAUGCAUUCAACGAGCCUAUCCUUGACCGACAGGUCCGGGUAAUCUUUGAAUCUGCAUCGUGACGGGGAUAGAUUAUUGCAAUUAUUAAUCUUCAACGAGGAAUGCCUAGUAGGCGCAAGUCAUCAGCUUGCGUCGAUUACGUCCCUGCCCUUUGUACACACCGCCCGUCGCUCCUACCGAUUGGGUGUGCUGGUGAAAUGUUCGGAUCGGCCGUUUGUCGCGGUUUCCGCGGCUCGUGGCUGAGAAGUUCAUUAAUCCCUCCCACCUAGAGGAAGGAGAAGUCGUAACA
Molecule: ribosomal RNA, 325 nt
Filed under: uncultured eukaryote
Lineage: Eukaryota
Description: partial 18S ribosomal RNA
Rfam family: Eukaryotic small subunit ribosomal RNA
Source: RNAcentral